This 876-nucleotide ribosomal RNA is filed under the name uncultured Prevotella sp. RNAcentral describes it as "bacterial SSU rRNA". It matches the Rfam family "Bacterial small subunit ribosomal RNA", at positions 29 to 897 of the family's 1533-position model. Lineage: Bacteria; Pseudomonadati; Bacteroidota; Bacteroidia; Bacteroidales; Prevotellaceae. The record is from RNAcentral.
GAGAACGCUGGCUACCGGCUUAACACGUGCAAGUCGAGGGGCAGCAUGUCGGUUGCUUGCAACCGAUGAUGGCGACCGGCGCACGGGUGAGUAACGCGUAUCCAACCUGCCUCUUACCAGGGAAUAACCCGUCGAAAGGCGGACUAAUGCCCUAUGCCCUCCGCGGCAGACAUCUAAUGCGGAGGAAAGAUUCAUCGGUAAGUGAUGGGGAUGCGUCUGAUUAGCUUGUUGGCGGGGUAACGGCCCACCAAGGCAACGAUCAGUAGGGGUUCUGAGAGGAAGGUCCCCCACAUUGGAACUGAGACACGGUCCAAACUCCUACGGGAGGCAGCAGUGAGGAAUAUUGGUCAAUGGGCGGAAGCCUGAACCAGCCAAGUAGCGUGCAGGAAGACGGCCCUAUGGGUUGUAAACUGCUUUUAUGCGGGGGUAAAGUGAGUGACGUGUCAUUCAUUGCAAGUACCGCAAGAAUAAGGACCGGCUAAUUCCGUGCCAGCAGCCGCGGUAAUACGGAAGGUCCUGGUGUUAUCCGGAUUUAUUGGGUUUAAAGGGAGCGUAGGCCGUCAGGCAAGCGUGUUGUGAAAUGUCGUGGCUCAACCAUGGACCUGCAGCGCGAACUGCCCGACUUGAGUGCGCGGAAAGCAGGCGGAAUUUGUGGUGUAGCGGUGAAAUGCUUAGAUAUCACGAAGAACCCCGAUUGCGAAGGCAGCCUGCUGUAGCGCUACUGACGCUGAAGCUCGAAAGUGCGGGUAUCGAACAGGAUUAGAUACCCUGGUAGUCCGCACGGUAAACGAUGGAUGCCCGCUGUUCGGUUUACGGACCGAGCGGCUAAGUGAAAACGUUAAGCAUCCCACCUGGGGAGUACGCCGGCAACGGUAG